This 382-nucleotide unclassified non-coding RNA is filed under the name uncultured Actinomycetes bacterium. RNAcentral's name for it is "uncultured actinobacterium contains 16S-23S intergenic spacer region". Lineage: Bacteria; Bacillati; Actinomycetota; Actinomycetes. The record is from RNAcentral.
UCCGGUUUGGCACCGGCGGUCUCCCUAGAGUCCCCGGCAUGACCCGCUGGCAACUAGGAACAGGGGUUGCGCUCGUUGCGCCACUUAAGGCAACACCUCACGGCACGAGCUGACGACAGCCAUGCAGCACCUGUGCACGUGUCCCGAAGGAGGGCCCUGCUUUCACAAGGCUUUCACGUGCAUGUCAAACCCAGGUAAGGUUCUUCGCGUUGCAUCGAAUUAAUCCGCAUGCUCCGCCGCUUGUGCAGGCCCCCGUCAAUUCCUUUGAGUUUUAGCCUUGCGGCCGUACUCCCCAGGCGGGGCGCUUAAUGCGUUAGCUGCGGCACGGAACGGGUUGAAGACCGCCCCACACCUAGCACCCAACGUUUACGGCUGGGACUAC